RNAcentral lists this ribosomal RNA (407 nucleotides) under uncultured prokaryote. Its description in RNAcentral is "bacterial SSU rRNA". It matches the Rfam family "Bacterial small subunit ribosomal RNA", at positions 51 to 463 of the family's 1533-position model. The record is from RNAcentral.
ACACAUGCAAGUCGAACGGUAACAUUUCUAGCUUGCUAGAAGAUGACGAGUGGCGGACGGGUGAGUAAUGCUUGGGAACUUGCCUUUGCGAGGGGGAUAACAGUUGGAAACGACUGCUAAUACCGCAUAAUGUCUACGGACCAAACGGGGCUUCGGCUCCGGCGCAAAGAGAGGCCCAAGUGAGAUUAGCUAGUUGGUAAGGUAACGGCUUACCAAGGCGACGAUCUCUACUGUUCUGAGAGGAAGGUCAGCCACACUGGGACUGAGACACGGCCCAGACUCCUACGGGAGGCAGCAGUGGGGAAUAUUGCACAAUGGGGGAAACCCUGAUGCAGCCAUGCCGCGUGUGUGAAGAAGGCCUUCGGGUUGUAAAGCACUUUCAGUUGUGAGGAAAAGUUAGUAGUUAA